Molecule: RNA transcript, 2574 nt
Organism: Cebus imitator (Panamanian white-faced capuchin)
Lineage: Eukaryota; Metazoa; Chordata; Mammalia; Primates; Cebidae
Gene name: SUZ domain-containing protein 1-like
Exons: 1
Source: RefSeq, a predicted model, not a curated record
AUGGAAGAUGAGGAGGAGGUCGCUGAGAGCUGGGAAGAGGCAGCAGACAACGGGCAGGAAAUCCAAAUCUCCUCCCAAAGUGCCCAUUGUGAUUCAGGACACAGAUCCGUAUCCUCAAAAGGCCUACCAGCAACAGUGUGGUCAACAGCCCCAACUCCACUAGCAGGCCCACCCUUCUGGUCAAGGCCCUAGCACAGCGGGAGGCUGAGUACACCGAGGCCCGGAAGCAGACCCUGGGCAGCGCCAGCCCAGAGGAGGGGCAGGAGAAACCCAUCCUCGACAGGCCAACCAGGAUUUCCCAACCCGAAGACAGCAGGCAGGCAGCCCAAAAAUGUGAUCAGACAGCCUUUGGGUCCUGAUGGGUCACAAGGCUUCACAGCGCAGAUAAAUGCAGGCAAGAAAAGAUGCCACCGUCGCUGCCUCCUGGGUCGUCUGCCACGGGUUGCACUGCUGCGGCAGACAGCUGGACUUGAGCAGAAAGAACGACCUGACUUACUUGCACUGUGAUCCCCCUUGCUCCGCCCACUGUGACCUUGAACCCCAUGCACUGUGACCUCCCCCCUCUCCCCCUUCCCACUGUGAUUGGCACGUCGACAAGGGCUGUCCCAAGGCAAUGGAAAGGGAAAGGGUGGGAGUUAGGGGAAGGUUGGGGGGACCCACCAAGGACUCAGAGUAGAGAGUCAGACAGUACCACUUGGGGUAAAGCCAGUUCCAGCAACAACAGUUUAUCAUGGUCAUUAAUUUGGGAUUUCAAAACACAAAUGAGAACUCACACCCACCUACCCCCAAGUGCAUGUUUUCAUCACUUAAGAAGUAAGUUCCAUUUGAAAAUAUCUUUUCUUUUUUUUCUUCCUAUUUUUAUUUGUUUAUACAAAUAUCUGAUUUGCAAGAAAAAGCACAUGGGAGGGGUUUUAGUGGUUUAAUGAAUUUUUAAUUGAGAAAGGUCAGUUUGGUAGUCUACUUAAAAAUGUUUCUGAGAAAUUCACUAGAAACAGUAACCAAUAGGAUUUUGGUGAGUUUAGCUUCUUUAUUCCUACUGCCGCCCGGAAAAGGGGCAGGGCUCUGCAGCCACCAGGACAGAUGAGCGCCCCAUGCCUAUACCUCCCUCCCUGAGCUAAGUCCCAGGGCAUCUGGGCCUUGCCUGGAGACUGGGCUAGCUCUGUAGGCUCAGAGAGCCUGGGGAGGGUACCAACCCCACCUCUAGUAUUUUGGGAGAUAGGGAAAGUGAACAGACUUCCCCUUCCCAUACCCCUCAGGGUGGUUCCCUACCAGCCAGGCUUACUACUUCUAGAGGAGAGCAGAGUGCCAGGGAGUGAGAUUGCAUCCCUGGGCUUAGCAGUGAAGGAGAGGAGACUUGUUUAGUAUUUUGCCAUCAACACAAGGAAAACCAGGAGAGAGUCUGGCUCCAGGACUCUAAGCCUUCUGCCUCGUACAGUCAGAAGGUGGAUAGGUCUUCCCACUCCAGCAUGGCUUGAACUCUUAAGGGUCUGUGGUGCUCCAUCUCCAUUGCUGGCCCUAGCUCAGUAACUAUACCUGGUACAUUUCAUGUGUGCAAUCAGUAACUUGAAGGCAGAACAUUCUGAAUAAAGUUGGAAAUAUAACAGCUUUGUUUUGCAAAGAUUGAUGACAGACUGUUUUCUCAGAGCCUGAGACUACCCAUCACCCCUUUUUCCAGUGAGGGCUUGGAAUGAAGGCAGUUUCCCCUCUGUCCCUGGAGCCAGGGGUUUACUUUGGCUCCUUGAGGUGGAAGAGGCUAAGAGGGCAGCUGCCCAGAGUGGCUCUGUGUGGACCCGGCUUUUCUCAGGCUUCCUGAUCCCUUCCGUUGCACUACGCCUUAUCCCUCAGCCAGCCAGACGGCCUCCCCACUCCUGACCAGCAGAUAUGUUUCGGAGUGGUUGGUGUGGUUUUGUGAUUAGGGCAGCAUGUGUUGGCCAAGGUGGCAAGCUGAGUCUCACAGGCUCACUCCACCGUUGGUUCCCUGUGGGAAUGGUAGGCCAGGCCCAGAAAACCAUGCUCCACCACGUCCUCCCCUCCAGAGGAAGGGCCAGUUGCCAGCUGUUAGCAGCUAGUCCACGGCACAGCCUUCUGCCUGUGUGAAGCCAGCCAUUCCCUGUGAGCAAAGCUGGAACCAGAGCUUCAGUCAGUAAGAGGGAGGAUUACCUUCAGGAGAAGGCAAGGAAGAAGUUGGCUGCUACCUUUAUAUUCCACUGCCCUAACCAAGUGUCCCCAUUCUAAAUGUAUAGUGUCCAUCCCUCAUGUAACAAUGGUUUCCCGCCCAAAGUGAGACUGUCCUUUCAAUUGGACAAGGGUAUAGAGGUAGUCCAAGUGGGAAGGCCAGAAGUGCUCGUUAACCACCCACUGGGACCACCUGUUCUUGCCCCACUACUCUCUAGUAGGGGCCAAAGUAAAGAGUGGCCAGUGGGUGGCUGUGGAUUGAGGAUGUGGCAGGGACUGGUCCUCCCACCUCCCUCUGGCCAAAGAUGGGCUUAGCCCACUGUGUGCCUGUCAACCACCCACCAGCAGUGAUGCCCUGGGCUUCCCAAAUGGAGAGGUGGUAGGCAAUGUUUUUAAAAA